This 395-nucleotide ribosomal RNA is filed under the name uncultured Glomeromycotina. RNAcentral's name for it is "SSU rRNA". It matches the Rfam family "Eukaryotic small subunit ribosomal RNA", at positions 569 to 970 of the family's 1831-position model. Lineage: Eukaryota; Fungi; Glomeromycota. The record is from RNAcentral.
AGCAGCCGCGGUAAUUCCAGCUCCAAUAGCGUAUAUUAAAGUUGUUGCAGUUAAAAAGCUCGUAGUUGAAUUUCGGGAUCAAUAUAUCGGUCGUGCCUUGGUACGUACUGGUAUCAUUGGUUUCUCCUUUCUGACGAACCAUGAUGUCAUUAAUUUGGUGUUAUGGGAAGUUAGGACUGUUACUUUGAAAAAAUUAGAGUGUUUAAAGCAGGCUUUAGCUUGAAUACAUUAGCAUGGACUAAUGAAAUAGGACGUUCGAACCUAUUUUGUUGGUUUCUAGGAUCAACGUAAUGAUUAAUAGGGAUAGUUGGGGCAUUAGUAUUCAAUUGUCAGAGGUGAAAUUCUUGGAUUUAUUGAAGACUAACUACUGCGAAAGCAUUUGCCAAGGAUGUUUU